CAGUCGCCGCGGGAAUACGUAGGUGGCAAGCGUUGUCCGGAAUUAUUGGGCGUAAAGGGCUCGCAGGCGGUUUCUUAAGUCUGAUGUGAAAGCCCCCGGCUCAACCGGGGAGGGUCAUUGGAAACUGGGAAACUUGAGUGCAGAAGAGGAGAGUGGAAUUCCACGUGUAGCGGUGAAAUGCGUAGAGAUGUGGAGGAACACCAGUGGCGAAGGCGACUCUCUGGUCUGUAACUGACGCUGAGGAGCGAAAGCGUGGGGAGCGAACAGGAUUAGAUACCCGAGUAGUCCCUGUCUCUUAUAA
RNAcentral lists this ribosomal RNA (301 nucleotides) under uncultured bacterium. RNAcentral's name for it is "partial 16S ribosomal RNA". It matches the Rfam family "Bacterial small subunit ribosomal RNA", at positions 509 to 809 of the family's 1533-position model. The record is from RNAcentral.